AUCUUUUCAAGCCAUUCAUGUAUUCUUUUUGUUGGUGGUUAUGUUUUCCCUGGAAGAGUUGAAUAAUUCAGGCCUGGUGCCAGUGUAACUCGGGACAAAGGGAUUAAGCCACACCCAGGAAGGGCACAAAGCCAGCCCAGGAGGCCCACUCAGAGGCCGGGCGGUCCCUGCAUAAGACUGUGGAUGGAGAGAGCAGGCAGGGGUGGCCUGAUUCCUGCUGGGUCCUUGACCGUGAUCUGGGCUCAGCACUCUGGCCCCAUUCUGGGUGAGCCUUGGGGUCCCCGCCCUGGGCCCCGGCAGACGGGUUUCUGAGGGCAGAGCAUCCGCUCUCCCAGGGCCUGCUCUCAGUAACGCAGGAGCCGGGAGGAGGCCGGCGUUCCUGCUACUCCGUCCAGGUGGGAGGGUAAGGGGCCCCGGCGUGGGUGGGGCGGGGAGGCGACCCCCUGAGACGGCCCCUUAGUUGGCUCCGUCUACCCCAAGUCACCAACUUUGUCUCCACUCAGGGGCUGUUCCCAGACCUCACACGCUUCCCGUGGCCCAGCCCCAAACCUGGGCUGGCCGCGAGCCCCGACUCCCGGGCAUCCGCGCAGCCCUGCCAUCUGGCUCAGGCCGGUCCACUCCCAGGCAGAGCUCUCCCGCCGCAGCCCUGGCAGGCGGCUGUUGCUGAGAACCUGCUCUGGGCUGGACCUCCCCCCACCCACCCCUCCAUCCCACCUCGUGUCUAAACCAGGGCCCGGCCUCGUGAUGUCCCUGCCCAGCGGCUCCCGGCUCCAUCCCUUCCCUCCCCAAGCGGUUCCUCAUGUGGGCUUCCUGGCCAUUCUCCCCACCUCCCCCAGCUCUUAGAAGCUCAGGUCUGACUGGGUUCUCUCCUGCUUAAAACCCUUUGCAGGCAUCCCUUUGUUUUCGGCCAAAGCCGAGCCUCCAAGCCUGGGCCGCUCUGUGGAAUCCGGCCCUACAAGCAUGUGGGUUCCUCGACUGCCCUCCCCUCCCCACAUGGGCCUCCGUCUGGGGCCCUCUCUGCUGGCCUGCCCUGUCCUGGAAUUUUCGGUGCUCCCUCUGCAGGAACCCUCAGGGACCGAGCCCACCGCGCCCUGCACCUCUUCGUAGCCUCUGCUGCCAACGGUAAUUAAGUAAGGGAGCGCGGCUUAGCAUCUCCUCUGCCGAAAUGUACUGUCUGCAAGAGCAGCGUAUUGUGUGUCCCGUUGACAGCUCUGGACUGAAGCUCUCCACGUUUUUGAAUAAAUGAAUAAGGCUCUUAAGCUCCGACACACAUGGGCCUGGCACCUUAGGGUCUCUGAGCAAGUACAGUACGGCUGGCUGGAUGCCCCGGGCAAGGCCAUUACGAAUCCUGUGACCCUGUCCUAGUUUCCCAACUUGGGAUGCUUUCCAAGGGCACGGCCUGGCCCCGCUCUUCCAUGGUUGCUGACUUCAUUGGGGAAACCAGGACACUUGUGGUUCCCUUUCUUUCCUAUAGAGCACAGAUCAGUUCUCAGAGCACCAGGGACCCCAAGAGGCUUUAGGGGAGGCUGACCCCCCGAAAUUCUGUGGUAUUUUGUGCCCCUACAGGCGGUUCAGGGUCGAUCCCAGAAAGGCUUUGAAGCUGGGCCAGGUGGCAGGAAUUUACCCUGUAAAUGCUGCCCUGCACGUUUCCUUCUCAGAUGCCUGCUGCAGACCUUAGUCGUCAGGCUCUGCAUGGGACCCCAGAGAACGCUGUUCUAGUGUGUUAUGCCCCCCACACAUUCAUGGUUCUCAGAGCUACAUCAGCACGCAGACAAGCACAUAGCACAGAAAGGUGAAGAAAUUUUCCCCAAAUCUCAGAGCUUUGUAAGUGGCAGAACCAGGAUUUGAAGCUGGCAGUCUGGCCCCAGAUCCCGUUCUCACAGCCCUGGACUUACACUGUCCUGUUGAUCCUGAGGGCUCCAUGGUGCAGACUUGUCCUGUGGCCUCUCUAGCCUUUCUCCCCAUGCCACUGAGAGGUGACUUUGCAGCCUCCCCUCUUUUAUCAGGAAAAAAUGGUCCCGAGCCGAGCCUUCUGGAACUUCCAGGGGAGACCCUUCCAGCUAGCUGAAGAGGGGCCGCCCAGUCCAUCAUGCCUAGGGCUGCGGUGGGGAUGGGCAGAGGGGAGGGCUGUUACAGAGCCUUAGGAGGCCCCAGCUGAGGAACAGGGGUGCUUAGGAGGUGGAGAACACGGGGGGGCGCAGCCGGGGUGGGCUCAAGUCCUGGUCCUGCCGCUUUCGCGGAGUGACCCCAAGCAAGGGACUUCACACCUCUGGUCCUGAGUUUCCUGUCUGUACAAUGCGGACAUUAAUGUGUAUCGUGCAGCAUUCUUCUGACAAGGAAAGUAAAAUAAAACUUGCAAAAUGUGAAUCCCAGACAGGGUUUACAGUAAGCUUUAAAAGAAGAUUGGUUCCUAAAUGUUAGUGCUUUUAAGCGGUCCAGGUAGCAGGGUGUUCAGGUCUUGCAGUUGUGCCCAAAUACCAGCAGUUUCUUGUGGCUGGAACCUUCCCAGGGAGCCCUCACCACCUCACACAGGGCUCCACUUCAAACUCUCAGAGCCGCGGUGGGGGCAGGUCCCUACCUUGCCCUCAGCUGACGCCUUUUGGGAAAUUACUCAGCAGCAGCUGAGAGCAAAGGACCCAGGGGGCCCUGGGGAGACAGCAAACGGGA
Aethalodelphis obliquidens (Pacific white-sided dolphin) is the source of this 2667-nucleotide long non-coding RNA. RefSeq lists it as uncharacterized. The transcript is spliced from 2 exons. Lineage: Eukaryota; Metazoa; Chordata; Mammalia; Artiodactyla; Delphinidae. The record is from RefSeq and is a predicted model, not a curated record.